GGGCGUUUGGUGUAAUGGCAACACACCAGCUUGGACCAAUGUGGAGUUCUGUGGUUCGAUUCCCAGAACGUCCA
This is a non-coding RNA of Cantharellus anzutake, 74 nucleotides long. The record is from the annotation of a RefSeq genome assembly. Lineage: Eukaryota; Fungi; Basidiomycota; Agaricomycetes; Cantharellales; Hydnaceae.